AUUGAACGCUGGCGGCAGGCCUAACACAUGCAAGUCGAGCGGAUGAAGGGAGCUUGCUCCUGGAUUCAGCGGCGGACGGGUGUGUAAUGCCUAGGAAUCUGCCUGGUAGUGGGGGAUAACGUCCGGAAACGGGCGCUAAUACCGCAUACGUCCUGAGGGAGAAAGUGGGGGAUCUUCGGAUCUCACGCUAUCAGAUGAGCCUAGGUCGGAUUAGCUAGUUGGUGGGGUAAAGGCCUACCAAGGCGACGAUCCGUAACUGGUCUGAGAGGAUGAUCAGUCACACGGGAACUGGGACACGGACCAGACUACUACGGGAGGCAGCAGUGGGGAAUAUUGGGCAAUGGGCGAAAGCCUGAUCCAGCCAUGCCGCGUGUGUGAAGAAGGUCUUCGGAUUGUAAAGCACGUUUAGUUGGGAGGAAGGGCAGUAAGUUAAUACCUUGCUGUUUUGACGGUAACAACAGAAUAAGCAACGGCUAACUUCGUG
Molecule: ribosomal RNA, 484 nt
Filed under: uncultured bacterium
Lineage: Bacteria
Description: partial 16S ribosomal RNA
Rfam family: Bacterial small subunit ribosomal RNA
Source: RNAcentral